This 451-nucleotide ribosomal RNA is filed under the name uncultured bacterium. RNAcentral's name for it is "partial 16S ribosomal RNA". It matches the Rfam family "Bacterial small subunit ribosomal RNA", at positions 354 to 796 of the family's 1533-position model. The record is from RNAcentral.
GUGGGGAAUAUUGGACAAUGGGGGGAACCCUGAUCCAGCCAUGCCGCGUGUGUGAAGAAGGCCUUUUGGUUGUAAAGCACUUUAAGCGAGGAGGAGGCUACCGAGAUUAAUACUCUUGGAUAGUGGACGUUACUCGCAGAAUAAGCACCGGCUAACUCUGUGCCAGCAGCCGCGGUAAUACAGAGGGUGCAAGCGUUAAUCGGAUUUACUGGGCGUAAAGCGCGCGUAGGUGGCCAAUUAAGUCAAAUGUGAAAUCCCCGAGCUUAACUUGGGAAUUACAUUCGAUACUGGUUGGCUAGAGUAUGGGAGAGGAUGGUAGAAUUCCAGGUGUAGCGGUGAAAUGCGUAGAGAUCUGGAGGAAUACCGAUGGCGAAGGCAGCCAUCUGGCCUAAUACUGACACUGAGGUGCGAAAGCAUGGGGAGCAAACAGGAUUAGAUACCCUAGUAGUCC